UCAAGCUCUCUCCUCUCUCUCUCUCUCUCUCGUGAGUUCCAUGCCGGUCACCGCUGCCAAUAGAUCUCGCUUUUCCAUCAACCUCCAACAGCGGAUCCGGCUUCUGUGACUGUCACCUACCACGGGGGAACAUAGGCAAGACUGGUGGCAUGGCAAUACUACGAGGCCGGCGAGGAGUGACGCCGAAUCACGCCGGCGGACGCCGGCUACGCUGUGGUGGGCGUUGGGGGGAGCUGCUCCAGCAAGGUUCCACCAUGAAGGCCACCUACCACGACGGGCCACUGCGCACUGGCGUUGCUCGAUCCGACGACUCCAAGUAGGAGUAACCGGAUCUGAUGGCCGGCCUCCCCAUGCUCCAUCAAUUUCAGGUGUUGGUAUGUUUGUGACAGAGAGCAUCGGUUAUUAUUGUGGAAUGUGUGUGAAAUACAUUGAAACAUGAUUUGAACGACAUGAUUUAUGAAUUGUGGGAUCCAGUGGAAUCAAUUGAUAUAAUUGAGAAGAUGAAUGAAUCAA
Molecule: long non-coding RNA, 513 nt
Organism: Triticum dicoccoides
Lineage: Eukaryota; Viridiplantae; Streptophyta; Magnoliopsida; Poales; Poaceae
Exons: 2
Source: RefSeq, a predicted model, not a curated record